GUUCUCAUGGGCGCAUCGUGCAGUCAUUCACCAGUCAGCUACAGCGGACCAGAUCGUCCCAGCAACACCAGUCUUCAGGCAAUAUACCUUCUAUAUCGGUGACAAACGCUGAUGGCAUCCCUGCAGUUCCUGAGGGCACCGUCCAUCCGCACUUAGAAAACCUGGCCCAUUGAGUUCGAAGAGUUAGCCAACACUUGUCUGCUGGUCCUUCAUCUAGAGGUGCGUGUCCAAUGUUUCUACUACCUUCUACCUAGGGGAAGCAGCAGGUUCAACACAAACUCGCAGGAUCCUGAUCCCAAGGUCAUGGAACUCAGCAGGGUGCUCACUUCCAUUGAUGAGGCAAUGACAUCCAGUUUGCAGCCUCGCAAGUCCAAGUAUGUAUUUGAAGGGCUUGGCCAUCUAAUAGCGAAGAUCCUGAUGAGCUCAUCACAGUUCCUGGACACAAUAGAUGAGUCUGGU
Homalodisca vitripennis (glassy-winged sharpshooter) is the source of this 459-nucleotide long non-coding RNA. RefSeq lists it as uncharacterized. Lineage: Eukaryota; Metazoa; Arthropoda; Insecta; Hemiptera; Cicadellidae. The record is from RefSeq and is a predicted model, not a curated record. The transcript is spliced from 3 exons.